CAAAGAGUAAAUAACAUCAUUGGUGCUAUUGACAAUGUAUAGGGAAGCAUUAGAAUCAAACACCAGACUGUCAUUGCUAACCAGAGUUCCAGUGGUCCAGUAUCCACGAUCAGAGAAGUGAAAAGCAGAAAGCACCAAAUUCCCAUCAUUUUGCAUUUCCAACAUGAAAUUUCCAGUUGAGUAAUCAGCAGUCCCUUUUGCAUUUGAAAAGAGCUUUUGG
Molecule: unclassified non-coding RNA, 220 nt
Filed under: Hevea brasiliensis (rubber tree)
Lineage: Eukaryota; Viridiplantae; Streptophyta; Magnoliopsida; Malpighiales; Euphorbiaceae
Source: RNAcentral